CCACACCUACCAAUUAUGGCCAUCGAGUACUGACGAUCAAAGCGAGGGACCUGGAGGCUGGAAAGGCACUCAAGUCAUGGUAGCUAGCUCUGGGGACCUGGCCACUGAUCUGAUGGUCAGCCAUAGAUUAUCAAACUAAAGGAUUGUUAUUGUGGAGAGCACACUUGCACACCAAAACUAGUAUCAGCACCUUAUUUUACAAUCCUAAUGUUACUGGAUUCAUUCACUCCUGUUACUGUAAUUAAAUGCGUGCAUAAUGAUGGUUAGGAAAAGUAAUUUUAGAGUCACUUCCAUUUGAUAUACUAUUACCGUAGGCGGAGGGACUCCAUCAGAGUGUCAUAUUAUGCCUCAGGUCGUUCAUGGUACUGGAGAUGAGGGUCUAAUGUAUUUCAGCUAGCAUGUCUCGGAAGACAGAAAAUCUUUAAAACUUAACAAUCAAAACUUUUGGCAGCAUUGAUUUGCAGUUUGCACAUAGAUACAUAAUAUACAUGUAACUAUUUUAAUUGUUUGUACAAAAAAGAUUAUUAUAGUGUG
This is a long non-coding RNA of Amphimedon queenslandica, 534 nucleotides long. RefSeq lists it as uncharacterized. The transcript is spliced from 4 exons. Lineage: Eukaryota; Metazoa; Porifera; Demospongiae; Haplosclerida; Niphatidae. The record is from RefSeq and is a predicted model, not a curated record.